Long non-coding RNA from Triticum dicoccoides, 593 nucleotides. RefSeq lists it as uncharacterized. Lineage: Eukaryota; Viridiplantae; Streptophyta; Magnoliopsida; Poales; Poaceae. The transcript is spliced from 2 exons. The record is from RefSeq and is a predicted model, not a curated record.
CAAAGAGGUCAGCACCAAUACCAACUGAGAAUGCUCAGCGUCCCCCAGGAACAAAGAGGGCGAAGAAAGCUACAGGAAAAGAUAAGGAAGCACCUACUGAGAUGAAUAACAUGAAAGAACAGAUUGAGGCCUUUCUACAAGCACAAGCUGAUGCUAAGGAGCGAACUGCUGAGAUGAUGGAAUUGCAGAGUCGACUGUCUGCUCAGAAGGUAGAAGCUAAUCGACUUGCAUAUGAGGCAGCAAAGGAGAGGACAGUGGCCAAGUUAGCAGAGGAAAGAACAAAGUUGUUUGACAAGUUCACAAAUAUGUUGAAUGCUGACACAACAAGAAUGGAGCCAUGGGCAAAGGAGAUGCAUAUGAAGGCUGUUACAAGAUUGGGGGAUCAACUUUUCAGGGAGGAAUAGAAGAUGUUCUACAUAUAUGUCAAAAAAAGCGGAUUUCAUGUGCCAGGAAGCGUAGAAGAUGUGAGAUUUUUUUUUGGAAUGAGAAGAAUCAAAGGAUACAACAAAAAAUUCAGUCUGAAAUUUGAUUUGUGUGUUUACAAAUCUUUCCUUUAUGGGUAUUUGAAACCUUAAGAUUAUUCUGUUACUAUG